CCCCUGAGACUUGGCGCAUCAGGUUUGUACCCGUGUCUCACUUCAAAGGGGGCGUGCCCCUGAAACGUAGCGCGGCAGGUUUGUACCCGUGUCUCUCUUCAAAGGGGGCGUGCCCCUGAAACGUAGCGCGGCAGGUUUGUACCCGUGUCUCAGUUCAAACGGGGUGCGCUCCUGAAACGUAGCGUGGCAGGUUUGUACCCGUGUCUCACUUCAAAGGGGGCGUGCCCCUGAAACGUAGCGCGGCAGGUUUGUACCCGUGUCCCUCUUCAAAGGGGGCGUGCCCCUGGAACGUAGCGCGGCAGGUUUCUACCCGUGUCUCACUUCAAAAGGUGCGUGCCCCUGAAACGUAGCGCGGCAGGUUUGUACCAGUGUCCCUCUUCAAAUGGGGUGUUUCCCCGAAAUGUAGCGCGGCAGGUUUGUACCCGUGUCUCACUUCAAAGGGGGCGUGUCCCUGAAACGUAGCGUGGCAGGUUUGUACUCGUGUCCCUCUUCAAAGGGGGCGUGUCCCUGAAACGUAGCGCGGCAGGUUUGUACCCGUGUUUCACUUCAAAGGCAGCGUGCCCCUGAAACGUAGCGCAGGUUUGUACCAGUGUCUCACUUCAAAAGGUGCGUGCCCCUGAAUCGUAGCGUGGCAGGUUUGUCCCAGUGUCCCUCUUCAAAGGGGGCGUGCCCCUGAAACGUAGCGUGGCAGGUUUGAACUCGUGUCCCUCUUCAAAGGGGGCGUGCCCCUGAAACGCAGCGCGGCAGGUUUGAACUCGUGUCCCUCUUCAAAGGGGGCGUGCCCCUGAAACGUAGCGCGGCAGGUUUGUACCAGUGUCUCUCUGCAUUCCACCUUGCAUUAUGAAUAACCGCACUCAUAUGUCUGAAUACUGAAUAUAUUGUCAAGAAUUGAAUAAAUACAUGAAGGAUUUAUCAUUCGUAUAAAAGUACGGACAUUAUGCUUUAUUCUACCUGUCUACAAUACUUACGCUUGAUCAUCUGAGUUUAUACAUCUCAAGCACUUUAUCUGGAGUAAUGUAGACAGACAUUGUUUGAGGAGGAAAUUCAGUUUAUUUAAUUACAUUAUUUAUAAUAUUGGGGCCCUCACGUCUGAUUCCCCCCCCCCCUCCCCCGAUCCUGCAUUUUCCCCCUGUCCACUGCUAUAUCUGGGUCUCCACCUAAGCCAUUUGCACACACUAUAGAGGGUCUUUUGACUAGAAAUGUGGUCCAGUAUGAUCGUCCUUCAGGGUAUGAAGUUCUCAGUCUAUACAUUAUUAUUUAUAGAGAAGGCUGAAUUGUCGUCAAUCCUAGGCAGAUAUUUGGGGCUUAUUGGGCUUGUUGGGCCCAGGACAAUUUUGGUAAACAGGCUCUAUGCUUUUCAAGGGGAGGGUGGAUCAGCCAAGGACAUAUACCUGGAGUCAGGCCAUGAGUGGAGGAGUCAGAAUUUGUCAUGCCCCGGCAUCUUCUACCAUCUACUUCUGUAAGUGAUUUCUAAUUUUUGGAAACAAAAAUACUGCAAGUACUAUUUACAAAGUGAUCAAUUAGACCCAUUAGUGCUUGUCUAAAAUGGAACCCCCCCCCCCCACAGUAGACCACUCCCUAUCACUUUUUGGAUAGAUGGGCAUUGUGACCCCCUAGGCCAGUUACUGAUGUUCCACUAUGGAGACGUACCAUACAAGUUAAGGGCAUGAUACCAACCCUCUCCAUAGCACCCCUAGUGGCUGCCUUAUUGAACACACACCCUUUGCAUUUCCUGUUUCUAACAUGUCACCCCCUAUCAGCCUAAGAAACAGCAGAUGGAGCAUAUAGAUUAUUAAUAAACAGGAAAGAAUACUCAAUGCAUAAUAGUCCCAAUGGUGGCAGCUCACAUGGGGGGGGGGGGUCUCUUCCGUCCUCCAUCUUGGAUGAUCUUUUUGCCUCUUCUUCAUUAAUAUGGAUGAUGAAGCAGGUGGCCUUCAGCCACGUCCAGUAAAGUAUUGACAUGGAGAGACCAACAACAUGUCCAGUAGCAUCAACAAGACAAGAGAAUAUAAACAUAGUAGCAAAAAAAAAAAAAAAAAAAGACAGAAAAUAGAUAAAAUAUUGCUCAGCUAGGACUUCCCUGCAGAUUUAGGUAAGUAGCAGUGCAACAAUGCACCAAGAUCACUCGCACAGGUUGGCCUGAGUUACUUGUUACCAGAGACUAUACGGCCGCGAUUGGCCAGACGUCGUCAUUAUUCCAAAAUGAACAGUGCACAGAGCAGUGUCCCGUCAUAGUCUUUAGGAGGUGGAGCCAUGACUUGGCUGUAUCUGAACGUUCCUCCAACAAGGGGUCUGGAAUUUAGGUCAAGUCGAAAGUUGUAUCAAAUGUCUCUUUGCUAAAUAGUAAAAUUCAGUCUCUUGUUCCCUGUUGUCACCAUUUGGAGGCUGGAACUUUAGCAGUUAGAUCGGGUGCCCCUUUAAUACUGUGCUUCAUGAUGUCACUAAACUGAUGACAUCAGCUCCCGAAAUGUCAGGCUCCAUUCACUUGGUUGAACUUGAUGGACGUAUGUCUUUUUUCGACCAUACUAUGGAACUAUAUAACGUUCACACUAAUUAGAAAAGGCACAAUGUGCAUAGAGAUAUUAAAGGGGUACUCCGGUGCUCUAAACAUUUUGUUGAGAACGCUGGAGCCGGAGGCCGUGAUCGUGACGUUACACCACACCCCCUCCAUUCAUGUCUAUGGGAGGGGGCGUGUCGUCCGACACGCCCCCUCCCAUAGACAUGAAUGGAGGGGGCAGGAACCUGGCAUUUGUUUAGAAUUCCCCUAUCCUUUUGAUAGGGGAUAAGAUGUCUAGCAGCGGAGUACCCCUUUAAUGGGGUAUUCUGCUAAUGUAAGCGCGAUUAGAUUGUAGGGUCACAUAGGGAAUGGGCAGUGAGGGGGCUGGGACCCCCCAACAAUGUCCAGAAUAAAUGCACAAAAACGGUGAUUACAGUUUUUAUCGGCAUCUGUCCAUGGUCAUCCUUACCCCUGUGGGGGAACCAGUUACGGUUUGAUGCUUUGGUCACCUCCGGUAGGAUCCAUAUCCGGUAGGAUCCAUAUUCAGUGCUGGUUUUCAGUCACAUUUCUUGCUAGAAUGUAACGUGUCCCAAGAUUGUCUGGAAAUAAAGGAUCAGUCGAGAGAGUUGCUUUAUCCAAUAAGUGCAGGAAGGAUAAAUUAUUCAUGAAGUCUCUUCAUAGCUGCAUUAUGUAGAUACAGGAGGCGCGGCCCCGGAGGACCAUGGGAAGGGAUACCGAUGCUUUGGUGCAGUGGAUCGGGUUUGGUGUCUCAUCGUUGCUGAUUGCCAUUGUUCAGAUUGUUUCGAGGAGCUGAUAUUUGUUCAUGCAGCGCGAUCUUGCCGGAGACGUUAAUAUUAGUCUUCUUUUUUCCUCCCCUCAGAUCGUAACGUUUUUUAGUUUUCCCCGGAGCUGCUCUAGUUUUCUGCAUGUGUGAUAAUUUUGACUACUCUAGUCUGUAUCCAAAUAAUUGCCUGUCUAGAGCUUCAAAAGGAAAAGGAAAGAAAUAAAUAAUUAUCCAGGUCGACGUCAAGUUUCUCUCACGGAAGAGCAAAACGUGCCGCCAGUGGUACAGACACAAUCAAAACACCUGUCUGGGAAGUCAGAACGCGCCGAUCCCCUAUAUGGAGGAGGAAGACAUUUUGUGCUUGGAGCCAUGGCAACGUCUUGGAGACGUGAACCUUCAAAACUCUAAGCCUAAACUUUGGUUGGUUCAUGUUCAGUGGGACCGAUUGCAGCUACCGUAUCGUAUGUGACACAAAACUAUAGGCGGUCAUACAUACAAGACCAUUGUUGGAAAGGGGACUCCCCAAAUCUUUCCUGGUGAGGGAAUCUAAGAUCCAAUGGUUUGCAUUCUUAUGUGUCUGAUCCUUGAUUUCUCAGGAAUUAAGGGGUGCUGAUCUGUUGGCCACUUAUCUCCCUUCAUAGAAAUUAGGGAUGUCCCGGUACCGGACACUGGACAUCUGCACAAGUACUGGUGCAAAUGUCCCCGAUACCUAAUCCAAAACUUUCCGGCAGGUACCACAGAGGUGCAGCCAGCUGCCUGCCCUCUCUGCACUGAUGAACUCCUAGAGGAUGCCGGGCGUAAACUUACGCCCUGCGUCCGGUCCCAAGCUAUGAAGCGCGCCCAGCAGCAUCAUACCCGGGACUUGCAUUAGCCCUUUAGAUGCCACAAUCAAAGUCCUGAGAUUAACUGCCGGUUAGUUCAGGGAUGCUGAUAGGGAUCACCGCGUUGUAAUUGCGGUUUCCCGAUCAGCUGAGAGGAUGGCCGGAGGUCCCUUACUGUGCUCCAUGCCGUCCGAACGCCGCUCCUUUACUGCAGCCAGCCAUAGCAAGCAUUAGUAAAGAAGCGCCGAUAACACUGAUCAAUGCUAUGCUAUGGCAUAGCAUUGAUCAGUGUAUGCAAUACGGAUUGCAUGUAAUAGAGCCCUAUGGGGACUAAAAAAUAGUGAAAAAAUUUGUAAAAAAAAAUUAAUAAUAAAAUGUGAGUUAACCCUAUCCUUAAUAAUAAUUUGAAUCACUCCCUUUUCAAAAAGUUUAAAUAAAAAUUUUUAUAUACUCUGUGUGUAUGUAUAUAUGUGUGUGUGUGUGUGUGUGUGUAUGUAUAUAUGUGUGUGUGUGUGUGUGUGUAUAUAUAUAUAUAUAUAUAUUAGUUUAAUAUAAAAAAGCCCUUUCUGUUAUAAAAACUAAAAUAAAAAAGUUUUCCUCAUUGACAUUGAAAAAAGUAUCGGUAAUUGGUAUCUGUGAGUGCUUAAAAAAAUAAAAGUAUUGGUACUUGUACUU
Long non-coding RNA from Hyla sarda, 4777 nucleotides. RefSeq lists it as uncharacterized. The record is from RefSeq and is a predicted model, not a curated record. The transcript has 2 exons. Lineage: Eukaryota; Metazoa; Chordata; Amphibia; Anura; Hylidae.